AGGCGAUCCUGAUUGGCUGAGCGCGGAGUGCUGACCCCACCCCCUCGCCGAGGUGAAAGGGCAACCAGGAGGCCGGCUGGCUGUGGCGAUGGCGGCGUCCUUGCGCCAAGUGGUCGCGGGCAGCUGGCGGCAGCCGCAGCGACACCUGCUUGCGCUGCAGUGUGCAACACGCCAUUCAAGAUGGUGCCUUAUAACUUCACGUACAUUCUAUACAGCUGAAUAUGACCCCAAUGAGAAGACAUUUGAGAAACUCCUUAUCGCCAACAGAGGAGAGAUUGCAUGCAGAGUAAGUUAUAACUUUCAAGCAUUUAUCAU
This 315-nucleotide long non-coding RNA is filed under the name Gopherus agassizii (Agassiz's desert tortoise). Its description in RNAcentral is "lncRNA (ENSGAGG00000019315.1)". Lineage: Eukaryota; Metazoa; Chordata; Testudines; Testudinidae. The record is from RNAcentral.